RNAcentral lists this ribosomal RNA (253 nucleotides) under uncultured bacterium. RNAcentral's name for it is "partial 16S ribosomal RNA". It matches the Rfam family "Bacterial small subunit ribosomal RNA", at positions 524 to 776 of the family's 1533-position model. The record is from RNAcentral.
UACGUAGGGGGCAAGCGUUGUCCGGAUUUAUUGGGCGUAAAGAGCGUGUAGGCGGCCAGAUAGGUCCGUUGUGAAAACUCGAGGCUCAACCUCGAGACGCCGAUGGAAACCAUCUGGCUAGAGUCCGGAAGAGGAGAGUGGAAUUCCUGGUGUAGCGGCGAAAUGCGCAGAUAUCAGGAAGAACACCCGUGGCUAAGGCGGCUCUCUAGUACGGUACUGACGCUGAGACGCGAAAGCGUGGGGAGCGAACAGG